RNAcentral lists this unclassified non-coding RNA (560 nucleotides) under Hevea brasiliensis (rubber tree). Lineage: Eukaryota; Viridiplantae; Streptophyta; Magnoliopsida; Malpighiales; Euphorbiaceae. The record is from RNAcentral.
AUGUCCUGAUAUAUUUGGCCAAGUCCCUCCUGAUCAGCUGCUUGAUUAAAGUUCAACCGCCAUCAAUUCUUUUCCAAUUUUUUUGGGGGCAUAUAGCGGAUAAGUGCUGGUGUGUGCAGUUAAGGUGCCCCAUGAAAUCCCCGCAAGUAAAUUAAGAUCCGAUAAUAAAAGAUAUAUUCUUUUCUUUUGUUUUUAAUCACCCUCUGCCGGGCCAUAUUCAUUUGGUGAUACUGGGCAUGCUUUUCAAUUAUCUUGAAUUGCAAGUCAAGCCGCAACUUCCUGAAAUCAUUUGGCGCAAUAUCAUGGGCAAUUUAAGAGACAAUAUGAAGUGGUAUAGCACCUAUUUCCUGUUAUUGUACAUGGUGGGGCAUUACAAAUGGUUGUUGCUUGCUCCAUGUUGGUCUGUUUCCCAAUUUUUGAAGGCUUAUGUAGUUUAAUGUACUCGUUUUAAUGGUAAGCAAAAUAGCUUCUUUUUUUUUUAAUGAAACAGAUGCUACUGUGAAUGAGUAUUAUUAGAAAUAGAGGUGUGCGAUUCUAGUUUCAGUUUGAUUUGGGGUCUG